GAUGAAGAACGCAGCGAAAUGCGAUAAGUAAUGUGAAUUGCAGAAUUCGGUGAAUCAUCGAAUCUUUGAACGCACAUUGCGCCCCUUGGUAUUCCGAGGGGCAUGCCUGUUCGAGCGUCAUUAUAACCCCUCAAGCUCAGCUUGGUGUUGGGGCCUGCUGCACUGGCAGCCCUUAAAAUCAGUGGCGGCGCCAUCUGGCUCUAAGCGUAGUAAUUCUUCUCGCUAUGGAGUCCUGGUGGAUGCUUGCCAUCAACCCCCAAUUUUUCUAUGGUUGACCUCGGAUCAGGUAGGGAUACCCGCUGAACUUAAGCAUAUCAAUAAGCGGAGGA
RNAcentral lists this unclassified non-coding RNA (329 nucleotides) under soil metagenome. Its description in RNAcentral is "partial contains 5.8S ribosomal RNA, internal transcribed spacer 2, and large subunit ribosomal RNA". The stretch from base 1 to 120 matches the Rfam family "5.8S ribosomal RNA", at positions 35 to 154 of the family's 154-position model. The record is from RNAcentral.